RNAcentral lists this small RNA (127 nucleotides) under Marmota monax (woodchuck). Lineage: Eukaryota; Metazoa; Chordata; Mammalia; Rodentia; Sciuridae. The record is from RNAcentral.
GCUGGGCGCGGUGGUGCAUGCCUAUAAUCCUACCACUCAGGAGGCUGAGGCAGGAGGAUCACGAGUUGGAGGCCAGCCUCAGCAACAUAGCAAUACCCCCAGCAACUUUAGCAAGACCCUGGCUCUA